GUCUUCUUCGCAAUGCCAGAUGGUAUGGGCUUCCUAGCUUUGUGAUCACAGGGAAGGCCUCAAUGAAAUGCAAGGCAGUUUCUGGAUCCUUGUGAUUGCACAUUGUUCAACUGCCCUAUGCCAGUAACCUCUUAUUGAGGGUUGACCUGAGGUUGAUCUCUGCUGCUAUUGCACCAUCACUUAAGGUCAAAGACAGAAGGAAUGGAUUAUAUAAAAAAUGAGAAGUCCGGGCCUGACCUAGAGCCUGUAAAAGCUGUUCAAUUUACCAAGGGCUUGGAACAGGAGUUCAACUUGUUUGAAUUCAAAAGCGGGAACUGUUGCUGAGUGCGAGCGGAUUCAAGCACGAUGGAGCGGGCCAAUGAGGAAGUCUCGGAAACAGGGCAGCUGUCAAAGCUCGUGGAAGUAGAAACAAUAACGGAGACACGGGAGUAGUUGAAUGAUUGGAGGUUCGCGUCGAGAAGUUUAGUAACCGUUGAACGGGAUUCAAGGUCUAUAAACAGAAGGAAUGCAGAAGGAGCACGGACACUCAAGCUAUGUCAAAACUGUCAAAUUUUCGUCUCGAGUCUUUUUCCUUUGUGUUUGUAGCAAUGUCUUUCAGUUUCACUUUUAGUUUUAGUUUUCGAAUCGAUCUUAUAUUGCACGUACUUGCAUUAUGAAUAUGGUAAUUAACACUAGACUCGUCAUCAUUUAUAGUGAAAAGUUAAUACGAGUGAGUGAGCAUGCUCAUCUUAGACUUC
Long non-coding RNA from Syzygium oleosum, 737 nucleotides. RefSeq lists it as uncharacterized. The transcript has 2 exons. The record is from RefSeq and is a predicted model, not a curated record. Lineage: Eukaryota; Viridiplantae; Streptophyta; Magnoliopsida; Myrtales; Myrtaceae.